Molecule: ribosomal RNA, 497 nt
Filed under: uncultured bacterium
Lineage: Bacteria
Description: partial 16S ribosomal RNA
Rfam family: Bacterial small subunit ribosomal RNA
Source: RNAcentral
GAUGAACGCUGGCGGCGUGCCUUCUACAUGCAAGUCGAGCGAACAGACGAGGAGCUUGCUCCUCUGACUUUAGCGGCGGACGGGUGAGUAACACGUGGAUAACCUACCUAUAAGACUGGGAUAACUUCGGGAAACCGGAGCUAAUACCGGAUAAUAUAUUGAACCGCAUGGUUCAAUAGUGAAAGACGGUUUUGCUGUAACUUAUAGAUGGAUCCGCGCCGCAUUAGCUAGUUGGUAAGGUAACGGCUUACCAAGGCGACGAUGCGUAACCGACCUGAGAGGGUGAUCCGCCACACUGGACCUGAGACACGUUCCAGACUCCUACGGGAGGCAGCAGUAGGGAAUCUUCCGCAAUGCGCGAAAGCCUGACGGAGCAACGCCGCGUGAGUGAUGAAGGUCUUCGGAUCGUAAAACUCUGUUAUUAGGGAAGAACAAAUGUGUAAGUAACUAUGCACGUCUUGACGGUACCUAAUCAGAAAGCUACGGCUAACUCCGUG